UACGUAGGGGGCAAGCGUUGUCCGGAAUUAUUGGGCGUAAAGCGCGCGCAGGCGGCUUCUUAAGUCUGAUGUGAAAGCCCACGGCUCAACCGUGGAGGGUCAUUGGAAACUGGGAGGCUUGAGUGCAGAAGAGGAGAGUGGAAUUCCACGUGUAGCGGUGAAAUGCGUAGAGAUGUGGAGGAACACCAGUGGCGAAGGCGACUCUCUGGUCUGGUACUGACGCUGAGGCGCGAAAGCGUGGGGAGCAAACAGG
Molecule: ribosomal RNA, 253 nt
Filed under: uncultured bacterium
Lineage: Bacteria
Description: partial 16S ribosomal RNA
Rfam family: Bacterial small subunit ribosomal RNA
Source: RNAcentral